RNAcentral lists this ribosomal RNA (476 nucleotides) under uncultured bacterium. RNAcentral describes it as "bacterial SSU rRNA". It matches the Rfam family "Bacterial small subunit ribosomal RNA", at positions 33 to 507 of the family's 1533-position model. The record is from RNAcentral.
ACGCUGGCGGCGUGCUUAACACAUGCAAGUCGAACGGAGUUCCUUGGAUAGAGGCUUCGGCCAAUUGAAUUGGAACUUAGUGGCGGACUGGUGAGUAACGCGUGAGGAACCUGCCUUUCAGAGGGGGACAACAGUUGGAAACGACUGCUAAUACCGCAUGACACAUUCGGAUGGCAUCACCUGAAUGUCAAAGAUUUUAUCGCUGAAAGAUGGCCUCGCGUCUGAUUAGCUAGUUGGUGGGGUAACGGCCCACCAAGGCGACGAUCAGUAGCCGGACUGAGAGGUUGACCGGCCACAUUGGGACUGAGAUACGGCCCAGACUCCUACGGGAGGCAGCAGUGGGGAAUAUUGGGCAAUGGACGCAAGUCUGACCCAGCAACGCCGCGUGAAGGAAGAAGGCUUUCGGGUUGUAAACUUCUUUUAAGUGGGAAGAGCAGAAGACGGUACCACUUGAAUAAGCCACGGCUAACUACGUG